AUCAUCUGCUUUCACAAUAAAUAUAUGACCAGAAACAAAAAUAGUCUAUAUCAAUUGAGAUAAGUAACGGAAUGUGUUUGUACCCCCUCUGCGUGCAGUGAGUGUGUUAGCAUGUUAGUAUGUGUUUGUAUUGGUGUGUGCAUAUGGUUGUGUGUGAGCAUAUAUUUGUGUUUGUGUGUGCAUAUAGUUGUGUUAGUGUGAGUGUGCGCAUUUGGGUGUGUUAUCGUGUGCAUAUAGUUGUGUGAGUGUGUUCAUAUCGGUGUGUGUAAUUGUGUGCAUAAGGAUGUGUUUGUGUGUACAUAUAGUUGUGAGUGUGCACAUUUGGGUGUGUAAUUGUGUGCAUAAGGAUGUGUUUGUGUGCAUAUAGUUGUGUGAGUGUGCGCAUUUGGUGUGUUGUGUGAGUGUGCAUAUGUGUGUGAUUGUGUGCAUAAGGGUGUGUGCAUAUAGUUGUGAGUGUGCGCAUUUGGGUGUGUUAUUGUGUGCAUAUAGUUUUGUGAGUGUGCGCAUAUCGGUGUGUGCAAUUGUGUGCAAAAGGAUGUGUUUGAGUGUGCACAUUUGGUGUGUUGUGUGCAUAUACUUGUGGGAGUGUGCGCAUUUGGUGUGUUGUGUGAGUGUGCAUAUGUGUGUGUGUGUGAUUGUGUGCAUAAGGGUGUAUGCAUAUAGUUGUGUGUGUGCAUUUUGGGUGUGUUAUUGUGUGCAUAUAGUUGUGUGAGUGUGCGCAUAUGGGUGUGUUAGUGUGAGUGUGUGCCUAUGGGUGUGUUAGUGUGUGCAUAUAGUUGUUAGUGUGUGAAUGCGCAUAUGGGUGUGUUAGUGUGAGUGUGUGCAUAUGUGUGCGUGUGUGCAUACGGGUGUGUGAGUGUGUGCAUACGGGUGUGUGAGUGUGUGCAUACGGGUGUGUGAGUGUGUGCAUACGGGUGUGUGAGUGUGUGCAUACGGGUGUGUGAGUGUGUGCAUACGGGUGUGUGAGUGUGUGCAUACGGGUGUGUUAGUGUGUGAAUGCGCAUAUGGGUGUGUUAGUGUGAGUGUGUGCAUAUGGGUGUGUGAGUGUGUGCAUAUGGGUGUGUUAGUGUGAGUGUGUGCAUACGGGUGUGUGAGUGUGUGCGCAUAUAGUUGUGAGUGUGUGCAUAUGGGUGUGUUAGUGUGUAGUGCAUAUGGGUGUGUGAGUGUGAGCAUACGGGUGUGUUAGUGUGUGCAUAUAGUUGUUAUUGUGUGAAUGCGCAUAUGGGUGUGUUAGUGUGAGUGUGUGCAUACGGGUGUGUGAGUGUGUGCAUACGGGUGUGUGAGUGUGUGCAUACGGGUGUGUGAGUGUGUGCAUACGGGUGUGUGAGUGUGUGCAUACGGGUGUGUGAGUGUGUGCAUACGGGUGUGUGAGUGUGUGCAUAUGGUUGUUAGUGUGUGAAUGCGCAUAUGGGUGUGUUAGUGUGCGUGUGUGCAUAUGGGUUUGUUAGUACAUAUGGGUGUAGCAAAGAGAAAGUUAGGAGCACCGGGUUUAGCAUAAAACAAGUAACUUUAUUGGCAUAACAUUAAAACAAAAGGGUAAACAUAUAACCCUCGGAUAAGAACUGAGAUUUUAGGUAUUUAGAGCAACACAGGCUGACAUGUUUCGGCAUAACGCCGCACUGCAAGCCUUAGAUAAAACAAUUUACUGUGGUUUACUUAAAAUCAAUCCCCACGUUCCUAUUGGUAAGAACGUACACACCUCCUAUUAAUUCUGACCAAUCGGAUACCUUUUGUGAACAAAGUCCCUCCUCUCAAUGGUGCUGAAGUAAAGGCACCAAUUAAAAAUAUAUGUGAUUCUUUAUUGUAUAUGGUCUACAGAGCUAAAAUGCACUAAUAUCGGCUCUAGACCCUUUAUAUUAUGUCACUUCCAUAGGCACAUUUUAAAACUGCAGAUGUGUCAUGAGGACCGCCAAAGUACUAGUAGACUUAAAGAGUGGGAAAAAUUCAGGGUAAUCUUCAGCACUCAACUGCAGUUUUGAAAGUACUGCUACAGCAGAGAAAAUUCACUAUGUUUCCCAUUCUCAAUUGCUAAUACUCCUUUUAAAAUGUAGGGAUUACUGUAGGAACCACAUAGGUACAAAUAUUGAGGGUAAUGAGGGAAAAUAGUUUCCUGCAAUUGACUAUAAUUCCCUCAUCCUGAAAAUCCUAAGUGUACCCAUGAGUUCAUUUGAAGUGUAGAAUAAGCUACCCUAGGAUGGGUACUCUAUUAGAAUGUACCAAUCAUAAAACAACUACAAAUAAUGUGAAACGAACACUAGCCAUUGAUAAAACUAAUAAUAAUGAUAAAAAGAAUGUGGGUUCAUAUAAUGUCCAGUUCUUAAAGACCCGCCUAAAAGCGAGUUAUGGACUAUCUUACUGAGUUAGGUUAAUACAUUUUUUAUAUCUUAUAUCCCUUCAGUCUCAAAGGACCUCCACUUUUGUUCAUCAUAAAUUAAUGAGGUCAAAUUCGGAGUUGAGGCUUCCUGGUAUCCUUGUCUUUAACCUAAAUAUCCAGUAUGCCUCCCUUUCUGCUAGUUUCCUAGCCCUGUUACCCCCUUUGUUGACUGGUAGGACCUUCUCUAUUAUGUUCUACCUAAUACUCCUCACAUCCUUAUCAUGAAAUUGUGAAAAAUGUUUGCUAAGUGGUGUGGUGAUAGUACUUGCUCUAAUAUCUGCAAAGUGUUCCUUACUCAUGACCCUUGCUUCUCUGGUAAUAAGACCAACAUAUUGGAGUUCACAUUGAGUACAAGAAAUUAAGUAUAUAAUGUAAGUAGAGCGACAAUUUAAACAUAGGUUAAUAUAGAAUUUUUCCUCUGUGACUGAGGAGCUAAAACUGUCACCCAGAUUGGCUUUAGCACAAGCUACACAAGCUGUGUAGUUGCAACGGUAAAUUCCAUUGAAUCUUAGCCAAGAGGAGUUAUCCUCCACCUUUGUUUUUAAUCUCGUUGGGGCCACUCUAUUGCCUACCGUUUUACCCCUCUUAUAAGCAAACUUAAUCCCUUUCUCCACUGUGGUUUGGAGCCCAUCAUCAGCUGGAGUAAUGUAAAGUGUUUCCUAACUAUCAUGCAAAUUUUGGGAUAUUUUUGCGAGUAUUCAGUCAUGAAUACAGUCUUUUCGUCUGUUUUCACUUGGGGGGUUAUUUUGUUGUUUCUUGUUCCCACUUAGAAGUCUGGCCCUGUCUGCUCUCCUUUCUGUAAGUAUGGUGGCCAUAUUAUAACCUCUCACUCUCACUCUCUCUCUUAAUCUCGCUGUCAGGUCAUCCGCCUGUUUUUCAUAGUUAACCUCAUUGGUACAAUUUAUUUUCUGGCGUAUGAACUGACCCCUAGCCACACCUCUGAAGACUAUCUGUGGAUGGCAACUAAAGGCAUGAAGGAGAGAGUUUCCUAAGAUGGGUUUACGGAAGACUUCAGUCUCAACAUGUUUGUUUGGGAUCCCUUUCAAUGUCAAAUCAAGAAAGUUGACCACUGCCCUGUGGGACUCAGAUGUAAAGCUUAUACCAGCUUCAUUAAUGUUCAGGCCUGAGACGAAUCUCUUCAGAUCGUCCUCAGAGCCCCUCCAAAUGAAGAAAUCAUCUAUGAAGCGCCUAUAUCACAAUAUUUCUUUUCUGAAGGGGUUUUCCUCCCCAAAGAUGUGGGACAGCUCCCACCAAAAUUACAAAGUGAGAAGAAGUAAGGGACUCGAAUAGCACUAAUUUCUAUUACUAAAGUAAGCAACGUAAACAUAAACUUUAAUCGUAUAAUUAAUAAAAAAAGAGAGAAGCACUGACCGCAUAACAUUACACCCACUCCCAGUAAAAACCGUUGGUCACUCCCCUGUUUCUUGACCGAUUACUGGAAGCGUGGGCUUCAGGUGGCAGAAGUGACUCACAUGGUACAAAGUGGCAACAAACGCGUUUCCUCUGUUACCUGGCCUUUCCUAAUGUUGUAAUUACUAGAAAUGAACAAGCCGAAGCUUAGUGGAUUAUCGCCUUUUAAACGCGAAUAUAUUUCCACAUAGCCAAUGGGAAAUGGUUUAAAAUGUCACACCCAUUCAGAAACCAAUGGUAGCGAUAGCAAUCAACCAACACAUUCCUAAUAGACCAAUGUGGUAAUACCGGCAUGCUGUGUCGUAGGCAGUAGUAGCAGCUGAUAGGAUGUGUGUCUGUAAACAUAAACAAUUGCCUAUAUUGAAACGCUCCGCUGUUCUUAUCUAAACGAACAGGAAAUAGUGUCAGGAACCCCUCCACACUAUGUGUACAAACAGCACAUUAUAUAUAGACAGACAAUAUGAGAUGACCAAUGCAAAGUUUCAUUCAAAAAGAGGGCGAAUAGAAAUAAUUAGUUAUGUAGUAGGUGUACUAUAAUGUCAUGAUACAGCUUAAUUUAUUUCAGUAACCUCUUAUUCAAAGAGAAAUAAAUAUAUCCAUACCUUGUGGAUCUAGUGUUAUUAUUAAAUAACGAUGUAUAAUGGCUGUGUCUUUACAACUCAUGUGCUGUAUGGUCACAAACAUGUUAACCGUGCACGCGAGAGUACCUAUUGUUAGCUACAAUAUACCAAUACGGAGCUACACAUCGUUAUAUAUUGAAAAAUAUCAACUGAAGAACAAAAAGGAUAUAAUUAGUUUACCUAUUUUAACUUUUACGUCUGACGGGCAUAUAAACCAUAUGUAUUUAAAUGAUAGUCAUAUUGCUAAGUAUAUGUCACUGCAUACAAAUAAAACAUCUUAAAUAUAUCUACUCUAAUACAUCGCCUCAUAAUUCCCCACCACUAGGGGCUAGGAAUUAGUCAUGCUGAACUAGUUAAAGGGACAUACACUCAAAUCACAGUGUGGAACAGAAGGGCUGUAACGUCUCCCAUCUCGUCCUCCAUUACUGUAUGGUGUAAAUUAGUCAGUGACUUAUAUAUCGGUUACACCGUAUCGAUACCCUUUUACAGUGUGCAGGGAAUUUAAAUCACUACUGAUAUACAGUUUCCAGUACGGUUAUAACCAUUACUACUAUCAAUGUGACACAUUAAAUCCCUCUUAGAGGGUAUAUGAUUUAGCUUUGGUGUAACCUACUUCACGUUAGAUCUAUUAUCAUCAAUAGUUGUUGUUCUUGUUCAUACCAUGGGGCAUGACUGAGUUAAUAUUAAAGACCCAUUUAGUCUCCA
Long non-coding RNA from Bombina bombina (fire-bellied toad), 5109 nucleotides. RefSeq lists it as uncharacterized. The record is from RefSeq and is a predicted model, not a curated record. Lineage: Eukaryota; Metazoa; Chordata; Amphibia; Anura; Bombinatoridae. The transcript has 2 exons.